CAGGAAGUCCAGUUCAAUUUGAGCUCCAAAUAAACAACAAAUAAUUUUUCAGUAUAAUUAUGUCCUGUGCAAUAUUUGGGACGUACUUAUACUAAAAAAUGAUUCAUUGUUUAAAUUUGAAUUUCAGAUAAACAAUGA
RNAcentral lists this microRNA precursor (138 nucleotides) under Tursiops truncatus (common bottlenose dolphin). RNAcentral's name for it is "miRNA (ENSTTRG00000024510.1)". The stretch from base 46 to 97 matches the Rfam family "mir-1302 microRNA precursor family". The record is from RNAcentral. Lineage: Eukaryota; Metazoa; Chordata; Mammalia; Artiodactyla; Delphinidae.